AUACGGAGGGUGCGAGCGUUAAUCGGAAUUACUGGGCGUAAAGGGUGCGUAGGCGGUUUGAUAAGUCGGAUGUGAAAGCCCCGGGCUUAACCUGGGAAUGGCAUUCGAUACUGUCAGGCUAGAGUAUGUCAGAGGUUGGCGGAAUUCCUGGUGUAGCGGUGAAAUGCGUAGAUAUCAGGAGGAACACCAGUGGCGAAGGCGGCUAACUGGGGCAAUACUGACGCUGAGGCACGAAAGCGUGGGGAGCAAACAGGAUUAGAUACCCUAGUAGUCC
This 274-nucleotide ribosomal RNA is filed under the name uncultured bacterium. RNAcentral describes it as "partial 16S ribosomal RNA". It matches the Rfam family "Bacterial small subunit ribosomal RNA", at positions 523 to 796 of the family's 1533-position model. The record is from RNAcentral.